RNAcentral lists this ribosomal RNA (377 nucleotides) under uncultured bacterium. Its description in RNAcentral is "bacterial SSU rRNA". It matches the Rfam family "Bacterial small subunit ribosomal RNA", at positions 521 to 896 of the family's 1533-position model. The record is from RNAcentral.
UAAUACGGAGGGGGCGAGCGUUGUUCGGAAUCAUUGGGCGUAAAGGGCGCGUAGGCGGCGUCGUAAGUCAGAUGUGAAAGCCCUUGGCUUAACCAAGGAAUUGCAUCUGAAACUGCGGUGCUUGAAUCCGGGAGGGGAGAGUGGAAUUCCCAGUGUAGCGGUGAAAUGCGUAGAUAUUGGGAGGAACACCGGCGGCGAAGGCGGCUCUCUGGACCGGUAUUGACGCUGAGGCGCGAAAGCUAGGGGAGCAAACGGGAUUAGAUACCCCGGUAGUCCUAGCUGUAAACGAUGGGCACUUGGUGUGGCGGGUGUCGACCCCUGCCGUGCCGAAGCAAACGCAUUAAGUGCCCCGCCUGGGGAGUACGGUCGCAAGGCUG